This 916-nucleotide ribosomal RNA is filed under the name uncultured marine archaeon DCM858. RNAcentral describes it as "bacterial SSU rRNA". It matches the Rfam family "Archaeal small subunit ribosomal RNA", at positions 1 to 922 of the family's 1478-position model. The record is from RNAcentral.
UUCCGGUUGAUCCUGCCGGACCUGACUGCUAUCGGAUUAAUACUAAGCCAUGCGAGUUUUUGUAGUAAUACAAGGCAUACGGCUCAGUAACACGUAGUCAACCUACCCUAUGGACGAGGAUAAUCUCGGGAAACUGAGCAUAAUACUCGAUAGAUCAUAAUGCCUGGAAUGGUUUAUGGUUGAAAUGAUUCGUUCGCCAUAGGAUGGGACUGCGGCCUAUCAGCUUGUUGGUGAGGUAAUGGCCCACCAAGGCGAUUACAGGUACGGGCUCUGAGAGGAGAAGCCCGGAGAUGGGUACUGAGACACGGACCCAGGCCCUAUGGGGCGCAGCAGGCGAGAAAACUUUGCAAUGUGCGAAAGCACGACAAGGUUAGUCCGAGUGAUUUCUGCUAAAGAGAUCUUUUGCAAGUUCUAAAACCACUAGUGAAUAAGGGGUGGGCAAGUUCUGGUGUCAGCCGCCGCGGUAAAACCAGCACCUCGAGUGGUCAGGAGGAUUAUUGGGCCUAAAGCAUCCGUAGCCGGCUCUGUAAGUUUUCGGUUAAAUCCAUGCGCUCAACGCAUGGGCUGCCGAAAAUACUGCAGAGCUAGGGAGUGGGAGAGGUAGACGGUACUCGGUAGGAAGGGGUAAAAUCCUUUGAUCUAUCGAUGACCACCUGUGGCGAAGGCGGUCUACCAGAACACGUUCGACGGUGAGGGAUGAAAGCUGGGGGAGCAAACCGGACUAGAUACCCGGGUAGUCCCAGCUUGUAAACGAUGCAGACUCGAUGAUGCAUUGGCAUAUAGCCAGUGCAGUGUCGCAGGGAAGCCGUUAAGUCUGCCGCCUGGGAAGUACGUACGCAAGUAUGAAACUUAAAGGAAUUGGCGGGGGAGCACCACAAGGGGUGAAGCCUGCGGUUCAAUUGGAUUCAACGCCGGA